UCGUGCUAGGCGGGGAGCUAGCGGUGCCCUGAACCCGCAAUCCGCUCAAGCGGGGCUGAGGUGUCCGUUCUCGGGAUGCACGUCAGGCGGUUCAACGCGCCUUAGCGGCGACGAUGGCCGGGUUCCGCGCAUCGGCAAGCAUCUGAACCGUGUCAGGGCCGGAAGGCAGCAGCACUAAGGAUGACUUCCCGAGUGCCGCGUGAUUACCGGGCCAGAGCCGUGAUCGGGCCGCUCCCGUCGGACGACAUCACAAAAACGGACCGCACGA
Molecule: signal recognition particle RNA, 268 nt
Filed under: Chthonomonadales bacterium
Lineage: Bacteria; Bacillati; Armatimonadota; Chthonomonadia; Chthonomonadales
Description: signal recognition particle sRNA large type
Rfam family: Bacterial large signal recognition particle RNA
About the family: The signal recognition particle (SRP) is a universally conserved ribonucleoprotein involved in the co-translational targeting of proteins to membranes.
Source: RNAcentral